GCCGGCAUAGCUCAGUGGUAGAGCAGCGCUUUUGUAAAGCGUUGGUCGGGGGUUCAAAUCCCUCUGCCGGCU
This 72-nucleotide transfer RNA is filed under the name Patescibacteria group bacterium. RNAcentral describes it as "tRNA-Thr". It matches the Rfam family "tRNA". From Rfam's summary of the family: Transfer RNA (tRNA) molecules are approximately 80 nucleotides in length. Their secondary structure includes four short double-helical elements and three loops (D, anti-codon, and T loops). The record is from RNAcentral.